CAAGGGGUGAAGAACUUCAUCCCUAUUGGUCGAAUACCAUGCCCAAUGGGCUUUGAGGAGGCUGCCCGAGGCCAUAUUAGGGGAUUAGGGUUCCUCUUUCGAAGCCAUUCGAGCUUUUGAGGCUAGGGUCAGAAGGUUUAGGGUUUUGGGUAUAAUUUGGGUGAAGAUUUUGUGUAAUUUCGAGUUUUUAUGGAAAAGAUAUGAAUGUUCAAAGAUAAGGUGUCAAUUUCGUACCUACUGGCACUUCUUUUGGGCAUCACAUACGAAAACGGAGAGCAACGGAAGAUCGGCGACUGGAUUUGGAGGAAGCAUUUUCUCGGCUACACAUUCUACUUACUGUAUAGUGAAUUCUAAGACUGGGUGAAGGAGUUAUGAGGCGUUGAAGACAGCACUUGAAAUUUGAAGGCAGUAAGUAUAUCGUUUUGUUGCUAGUUAUGGGUGAAGCCAUAUCUUGAGUUUUUGGACGAAUUUUUGACUCAAAAUUUACACAAGUGUGUGUAAUUGGGUUAAGAAGCUUUAGAUCAAAGUUUCAUAGUAUUUGAAUAAUUAAUUUGUGAGAUAUGAAGGAAGUUGUACACGGGUGUAAAAAAGCUAGGGUUUGAAGCUACAGUUAGGGUUUUCAAGAUAUCACAAGAUCCAAGACGAAUUUACGGUUGAAAUUUGGUGUGGUAGUUGCUAAAGAUAUAUCAGUACUCCAUGUAAGAUUUGGAGUUGUUUAGACGGUUAGAUCGUAAGUUAUGAGCUGUUGAACUUCGGAAAAAAUUCCUCAUAAGGAUAUAUAAGUUUUUUAUAACACCUUAUCAAGUAUUUUGAUGUUCUUUGGAUUUUAAGGCUUGUAUAUUGAUGUAAUUGCUCCAAAGGAGAGGAGUUUAAAUAUAUAAAAUUGUUACCCUUAUAUUUCAAAUUUGAUUGAGUAUUUAGUGACAGCCAGAAGCCCAGCGCUUUCUUGAGGCAAACUCUCUCUACCUCGACAUAUUUGGUGCUUCCACUGAGAGAGCCUUAAGGCACUAAAAUUCUCAAUAAGUUAGAAUGGGGGAUCAAAUUCCAGGGUUUGGAUUACCAAGUGGAGUAGGUGCUCAUGAUUUAUUCAGAGUAUUUACUCAAUUUAUGGAAGAAAGGCAACAGGUGCAUUGAGAGGAUAAGAAUACCACCAAAGCUUUACGAGUAGUGCUGGAUAAGGUUGGGAGGUUUGAUGGGAGGAACAUCACUAAGUUCCUCAGGGUUUAUACAUGUGAAAUGGAAGUGCAUCAGGUUUCAGAAGUAAAGAUGAUUUCUACCUUUGAUUUGGCAGUGGUACCAAAAAUCAGAGAGAGGGUGCAAGAGUUGCAUACUGAGACUAUAUCAUGGAAGAAAUUUGAAGAACUCUUGAAAGAUGAGUUUUUUGAGGAGGAUUCAGAAAGAAUGACAAAACAAACUUUUUUGGAUUGGAUUGAGCAAAGGCCAGGGAAUCAAAUGGUUCCCAAUGAACUAAUCAGGGAAUUUGAGGCUAAGUUUGGACAGUUACCACGACAAGAGAGGCAGCUUUUGGAAACAAGGAAGACUGGAUUAUUUUUACAAGCAACUGAUGAACAUUUGGAGGAUUAUCUACUCUUUUAUCUAGCAGACAAGACAUCUGAGAGUGGUUUUACUAAUGAUUGGAAGCUAGUAAAAGAUACAGUGGGGCUUUUGGCUAAGCAAAAAAAGAUUAAGACUCGUGGAUUAUUACCAAAGUUGGAGCCAAUGCCUGCAUCUCAAAAUCUAAUGCCACCUCAAAAGAGAAUUAAGACUGUUAAGGAUGGUACUCUUGAAGAACUAAUUAAGGACAUACAGGACUUGAAGGUGGAAAUGACUGAAUUGAAGAAAUCCCAGAUGGCAAGCUCAUCAAAGACAAUUGAAGGCUCAAAGGGAUUUAUAGAAAGAUGUAUGUGGUGUGACAAUCCAAACCAUAAGCGUGGUGAGUGUGAUAGCUAUAAGGCUGCAAUCAAGGAUGGUAUUGUGUAUUUCAAAGAGGGCAGGAUAAGACUUACAAGGUCAGAUGAGCCUCUAAAGACUAAUUUUGGGAAGGAUGGCAUGAAAAAAUUAGUAGAGGAGCAAACAUCAAAGAAUAGUAUCAUAAAAAGGGAAGGAGCUGAGUCUUAUUCUAUUACAUUUGAACAAAAGGGAGUUAAGGUUGUUUCUAUGCCAACUAAAGAAGUCAUGAUGAGGGGAGCUGAAGCUAUCAGAAAGAAAACUGGGUGGAAUGAUCCAGUUGAUACUAUUAGCAUUAAAGCAUAUUUGUGUGGAGACAAGCAUGAUGAUGAUAUGCAUGAUGCUAUGGUUGAGGAAAAAAGAGGUAGAACUAUUCAUGAAGAGGAUGUUAUUGAGCCUGAAAACAAGAGGAGGUCUCCAAGAAAUAAAGAAGCUUCUAAGGAGCAAAAAACUGAGAAGGUAUCUUCUUCUACUCAUCCUAGUAGUGCACCAUUACCAAAAGAGUGGUGGGAGAAGGGCAAAGAAAAGGAGAAAGAAGAUACAAGCAAACCUAAAGGUAAAACUCCUGCUUAUAAACUUCAAUCUGAGAUUGAAUCAUCUAUAGAUAUGAAGAGUAUUUUACAAGAGAAGAUCUUGGAUGCAAAGAUUGAAUUCACUCUAAGAGAGGCUCUAGACAUAGCCAAGAAGGAUUUUCAUGAAUUAAUCAUCAAUGUGAUAAAGAGGAAGAAGCAAAUGACAGCAGAAGCUAUUAUGGUAGAGGCAUUGGAUACUCGGAUAACUGUGGAUGAAGAAGAAGAGAUAUGACAGGUAUUUGUAUAAUUUGCAAUGCUUGAAACUAGAAAUAAGGUUGAUAUGGAAAAAAAAGUUUCAUUUAAACAUGUUGAAGGUAAAAGAGAGCAUCAAGUGGAAUGCACACCUUUGGAAUUUAUAAGGAUAAGGAAGGAUGCACAAGAAGCAAGUGUUAAUACUUGCUCCAAAUGUGAAAAUGAGAGAAUAGAGAGUAGUAGUUAUUCAAUUCCUUAUUAGGCUAGAGCUACUACAGAAACAUAUGUGAGAUUGGGGGAUUCUAAAGAUCCAAUUUUGGCUCUGGUUGAUCAUGGAUCUGAAAUCAACAUCAUGUCAAGGAAGAUAUAUGAGAAGAAUAAGUGGCCAAUUGAUAUCAACCAUGGUUGUGUAAUCAGAGCUGCAAACAAUCAACAAGGUGAUUUACAUGGAGCUUGUCGAGCUGUAAAGACUAGAAUUGGAGAUGUAGAAGUGGAGCAAAAUUUCUUUGUGUAAAACUCUGCUACAUAUCCGGUAAUACUUGGUCAACCUUAUAUUACAACUGCUAGAAUGGAGACUAGAGUCUUGAAUGAUGGUUCACAUUAUGCCAGAAUUUGGAGUUGGGAUGGGAGAAAAGCUCUGCAAUUUAUUACUGUGAAACCUAUCCAUGAGAGACACAGAGAACAAUUAAGAGGGAUGCCCUUGGAACCAGGAAUAACUUUGUGGAUUUCUAAAAAGCACCCUUGUAAGAUGGGGGCACAUGGGUGCAAAUGAUUCAUUUACAAACCCCAGUGUAGAUAGUAUGAGUUUUGGAUUUUUAAACUUAUCUAGUAAUGGAUUUGUGAGUGUUCAAAAGGUUAAAGAUUUAGAUUCUAUAAACAAAAAAAGAGUAAAGAAACAAGAGAAAAACUUAAAAAGAGUGGGUUUAGUUUCAAGUGAUGAAGCCAUAGUUGGAGUAAUAGAAGAAAUAGAUUUGGAAGAUGAUUUGGUAAAGGUUUUGGAGAAUCUGGCUAUAAACAUAGAUGGAGAUGCUAUAGUAGAAAUAUAUUCAAGAAGGACUUAUGAAGAAUUAGAAAGGAUGGUAGCAAAUGGUGGACUUGCUACAAACUAUGGGUUGAAGCAUGAGGCUAAAGUACAAACUAAAUAUAAAACUGUGGCAAGAAAGGUAAAGCCUGUAGCUAUACAAUUACCAGUUGAUAAUAUGGAGCAUAUUAAACAAGCAGUUAUGGAGCCAAGUCUAAGAGAGAGGUGUUGAAUUAGACAUCAAUUUACACAAGAAUCAUUAGCUAAAUUGAAGAUUGGAGGGGGUGACUUCUUAACAUCAACGGAGGAAGAUAUGUUUCAAAAAAUGCUUAUUAGACAUGGUAAGGCAUUUGCCUUAACUCCUGAUGAAAUCGGAUGUGUGGAUCCCAGUAUUAUAGUAUCUAUGGUAAUCUUUACAGUACCACAUGUUCCAUGGGAUUUAAAGCCUAUACCUGUGCCUAGAGCUUUACUUCCAAAAUUGAUAGAAUUAUUAAAAGAGAAGGUGAAGAUGGGUAUUUUGGAACCUUCAAUUGCUCCCUAUUCUAAUAGAUGGUUCACAUACUGAAGAAGUCAAGGGCAUUAAGAUUUAUUCAGGAUAUGCAACUUGCAAACAGGGUGACUAUUCGAAAUAUGGGAUCAGGUCCCAUAUUAGAUGAAGUGGCUGAACAAUUUGCAGGUCAUGUCAUUUAUUCUAUUAGAGACUUAUAUUUUGGAUAUGACCAAUUUCAAUUGGCUAAAGAGAGUAGAGAUUUAACUACCAUGAAGACUCCUUUGGAUUUAAUGAGGAUGUGUACGCUACCUCAAGGUGCAACCAACUCAGUGGCUCAUAUGUAAAAUGUUAUGAACCAAAUAUUAAAAGAAUUUGUGCCUGAGAAGACUAUUCCAUUUCUAGAUGAUAUACCUAUAAAAGGAGAUAAAAAAGAAGACAAGGAUGAGACUAUGGAGGUUGAAGGUUGUAGAAAGUUUGUGAAGAAAUAUAUUGAAGAUGUGGCUCAGAUAUUGGAGAGAUUGGAGUCAGUUAAUCUCACGUUAUCUUUGGAGAAAUCAAGCUUUAGAGUUGAUAAGAUUCUAGUAGUGGGACACAUGUGUGGCAGGUAUGGUAGGAAACCAAACCCUGAUAAGAUUGAUGCUAUAUCUAGAAUUAAGGCUUGUAAAAAUGUUACAGAAGCCAGAAGGUUUUUAGGAGCAUGUGUAUUCUAUCACAUUUGGGUGCCACACUUUGCCCAUAUCUCAGAGCCACUAUAUAAGUUAUUAAGGAAGGGUAAGAAAUUUGUAUGGGAAGAAGAACAAGAAAUAGCUAUGGAAAAUCUAAAAAAAAUGUUGAGUUCACCACCUGUGCUUAAACAAGUGGAUUAUCAAUGUGAAAGAUCAGUAGUUGUAAUAGUGGAUACAAGCCCUAUAGCAAUUGGAUGGGCUAUUGGACAAAAUGAUGUAGAGGGAAGAAGAUUUGUUAUAAGGUUUGGAGCUAGGGUUCUUACAAAGAGACAAAGGGCUUAUCCACAAGUUAAAAGAGAGCUUUGGGGAGCGCUUACAGCAUUGAAGGCUGAGAGGAAUUAUUUGAUUGGAGCAAGUAUGGUUUUGGAAACAGAUUGUUUGCCAUUACUUGGAAUGAUAAUUAACUGUACUACUCCAGAUAUUGCCAUGCUAAGAUGGAUAGCCUAUAUAAGGACAUUAAACCUUGUUUUGGUACAUAUUACUGGUAAAGAAAACUUGGUGGCAGAUAUGUUGUCCAGAGCUAGAUAUACAUUUGAAGAAGAGAUGAUGGCAUAUGAAAGAGGUGAAGAUGAAGAAGAGAAGAAUUAUGGAAGUUCAUUUGCUACUGGUGGAAUGGAUUUUGGUGACAAGGUUCAAAAUUUCUAUGAAGAAUUAUGGGGUAUGAAAUAUUUGGUUUUAGCAAGAGAAGAGUUAUCAAACUAUGUUGAAGGAAGGGCUUUGAGAACCAAGACCACGGAAGCAAUAUGCAGGUUUAUAUUAGAAGACAUCUUCAGCAGAUAUGGCUAUAUUGGGAGGAUGAGAGCUGAUAGAGGAGAAUUGGAUGCCAUAGAAGCAAGAGAUUUUUUCAAAAGGUACGGAGUUCAAUUGAAGUUGACUACUUCUUAUAAUCCUGAAGCCAAUGGAAAGAGUAAAAUAGGUCAUCCUCCAAUCAUUUAUGCAUUGGUUAAGGCAUGUAAGGGUAAAUCAAUUCAAUGGCCUAAACUGCUUCCAUUUGCUUUAUGGGCUGAUAGAACUACUCAUAGUACUGUCACUGGUUAUAUGCCUAUGGAAUUAAUGCUAGGACAAAAACCUAUAAUGCCUGCUGAAGCAACCUAUCCUACAUGGAUGUUUUUGUCUUGAGAAGAUAACAUUAAUAGAGAAAGGUUAUUAGAGCUUCAAAUCCAACAGUUAAGAAGAUUACCUGAGGACCUACAAAUUGCAGCUGAGAGGUUAAAGGAAGCAAGAUUGAAAAAUAAAGAGAGGUUUGAUAAGACUCAUAGGUUAAGGCCUAAACCUAUAGAGAUUGGAGAUUGGGUUCUAGUUUAUGAUAGCAGCCUUAAGCAUCAACUUAGUACUGUAAAAAAAAUUGCAAAAAAAUGUUUUGGACCAUAUGUGGUGGUUAUAGUCCAUGAUAAUGCCACAUAUAUCUUACGUGAGUUAGAUGGAGCUAUCAUUAGAAUUCCAAUAGCAGGAAAGAGGGUGAAGGCUUUCAAAAGAAGAGAUGGGCGGUUUCAAAUAGAAGAUCUUGAAGAAUUCUUACCUCAAUAUUUGGACCAAGAACAUGAAGAAGAAGACUCUAUGAGUGAUUCCAAGAAGUCUCAAGAGGAUGAAGAAGAGUAGUAUGUGGCACAUACCGGAGGAUGUGCAGGUUUGGAGGGGGUGGAUGUCGUACUGUAAUUACUUACAGUAUGUAAAAAUUAGUGAAAACAUGUAAUAUGUUUAUAAGUCUUAAUGUGAGUUAGAAUAGUUAGUAUGUUAAUUUAAAAUGAAUUGAAAUAAGAAAAAUUAUUUGGAAGUUAAUCUAGUUUGAUUAUAGAGUUUAUAUUAUAUAGGAUUUAGAUAGUUAGUAUAAAGAUUAAGGGAAGGGAGGAGUUAAAAGAUGAAAAUAUAACUAGAAGGAGGCUUAUUGGGAAGGAUGAAAGUAAGGCAUGGUUGGAUGAAGGCAAGGGGUGAAGAACUUCAUCCCUAUUGGUCGAAUACCAUGCCCAAUGGGCUUUGAGGAGGCUGCCCGAGGCCAUAUUAGGGGAUUAGGGUUCCUCUUUCGAAGCCAUUCGAGCUUUUGAGGCUAGGGUCAGAAGGUUUAGGGUUUUGGGUAUAAUUUGGGUGAAGAUUUUGUGUAAUUUCGAGUUUUUAUGGAAAAGAUAUGAAUGUUCAAAGAUAAGGUGUCAAUUUCGUACCUACUGGCACUUCUUUUGGGCAUCACAUACGAAAACGGAGAGCAACGGAAGAUCGGCGACUGGAUUUGGAGGAAGCAUUUUCUCGGCUACACAUUCUACUUACUGUAUAGUGAAUUCUAAGACUGGGUGAAGGAGUUAUGAGGCGUUGAAGACAGCACUUGAAAUUUGAAGGCAGUAAGUAUAUCGUUUUGUUGCUAGUUAUGGGUGAAGCCAUAUCUUGAGUUUUUGGACGAAUUUUUGACUCAAAAUUUACACAAGUGUGUGUAAUUGGGUUAAGAAGCUUUAGAUCAAAGUUUCAUAGUAUUUGAAUAAUUAAUUUGUGAGAUAUGAAGGAAGUUGUACACGGGUGUAAAAAAGCUAGGGUUUGAAGCUACAGUUAGGGUUUUCAAGAUAUCACAAGAUCCAAGACGAAUUUACGGUUGAAAUUUGGUGUGGUAGUUGCUAAAGAUAUAUCAGUACUCCAUGUAAGAUUUGGAGUUGUUUAGACGGUUAGAUCGUAAGUUAUGAGCUGUUGAACUUCGGAAAAAAUUCCUCAUAAGGAUAUAUAAGUUUUUUAUAACACCUUAUCAAGUAUUUUGAUGUUCUUUGGAUUUUAAGGCUUGUAUAUUGAUGUAAUUGCUCCAAAGGAGAGGAGUUUAAAUAUAUAAAAUUGUUACCCUUAUAUUUC
RNAcentral lists this long non-coding RNA (7770 nucleotides) under Physcomitrium patens. RNAcentral describes it as "long non-coding RNA (PPAT_LNC001718)". The record is from RNAcentral. Lineage: Eukaryota; Viridiplantae; Streptophyta; Bryopsida; Funariales; Funariaceae.